UACAGAGGUCUCAAGCGUUGUUCGGAUUCAUUGGGCGUAAAGGGUGCGUAGGCGGCGCGGUAAGUCGGGUGUGAAAUCUCGGAGCUUAACUCCGAAACUGCAUUCGAUACUGCCGUGCUUGAGGACUGGAGAGGAGACUGGAAUUUACGGUGUGGCGGUGAAAUGCGUAGAUAUCGUAAGGAAGACCAGUGGCGAAGGCGGGUCUCUGGACAGUUCCUGACGCUGAGGCACGAAGGUCAGGGGAGCAAACAGG
RNAcentral lists this ribosomal RNA (253 nucleotides) under uncultured bacterium. RNAcentral's name for it is "partial 16S ribosomal RNA". It matches the Rfam family "Bacterial small subunit ribosomal RNA", at positions 524 to 776 of the family's 1533-position model. The record is from RNAcentral.